GGACGUCGAAGAGCCUGGUCCUUAUGCCAUCAACUUUUGUAGCUUCACACGUGGUUUAACUAUGUGCAUACAGGUGGCAUGGGUACAGCAGCUACAGUUUGGAAAGGGGACCAAAGGGGGCCAGCUCACAUCUGCCAAGUAAGAAUGAAGGGCGUUAAGGUAUCAGUUAGCUCGGUACGCUGCUGUUGCCUCGCACCGUUUAUUUUAUGCCCACC
This 215-nucleotide long non-coding RNA is filed under the name Theobroma cacao (cacao). RNAcentral's name for it is "long non-coding RNA (TCAC_LNC000552)". The record is from RNAcentral. Lineage: Eukaryota; Viridiplantae; Streptophyta; Magnoliopsida; Malvales; Malvaceae.